Non-coding RNA from Halocaridina rubra (Hawaiian volcano shrimp), 73 nucleotides. The record is from the annotation of a GenBank genome assembly. Lineage: Eukaryota; Metazoa; Arthropoda; Malacostraca; Decapoda; Atyidae.
GACAGUUGUGGCAAGGUGGUAGCUCACGCGACUUUGAUUCGUCAGGUCGUGGGUUCGAGACCCACCACAGUCU